This 468-nucleotide ribosomal RNA is filed under the name uncultured bacterium. RNAcentral's name for it is "partial 16S ribosomal RNA". It matches the Rfam family "Bacterial small subunit ribosomal RNA", at positions 28 to 507 of the family's 1533-position model. The record is from RNAcentral.
GACGAACGCUGGCGGCGUGCUUAACACAUGCAAGUCGAACGGAAAGGCCCUGCUUUUGUGGGGUGCUCGAGUGGCGAACGGGUGAGUAACACGUGAGUAACCUGCCCUUGACUUUGGUAUAACUUCAGGAAACUGGGGCUAAUACCGGAUAGGAUCUCCUGCUGCAUGGUGGGGGUUGGAAAGUUUCGGCGGUUGGGGAUGGACUCGCGGCUUAUCAGCUUGUUGGUGGGGUAGUGGCUUACCAAGGCUUUGACGGGUAGCCGGCCUGAGAGGGUGGCCGGCCACAUUGGGACUGAGAUACGGCCCAGACUCCGAUGGUAGGCAGCUGUGGAGAAUAUUGCACAAUGGUCGGAAGCCUGAUGCAGCAACCCCGCGUGCGGGAUGACGGCCUUCUGGUUGUAAACCGCAUUCGCCUGUGACGAAGCGUGAGUGACGGUAAUGGGUAAAGAAGCACCGGCUAACUACGUG